RNAcentral lists this transfer RNA (72 nucleotides) under Bos taurus (domestic cattle). It matches the Rfam family "tRNA". From Rfam's summary of the family: Transfer RNA (tRNA) molecules are approximately 80 nucleotides in length. Their secondary structure includes four short double-helical elements and three loops (D, anti-codon, and T loops). The record is from Rfam by way of RNAcentral. Lineage: Eukaryota; Metazoa; Chordata; Mammalia; Artiodactyla; Bovidae. RNAcentral also lists the same sequence under 3 other names.
UCCCUGGUGGCUCAGUUGGUAAAGCAUCUGCCUACAAUGCAGGAGACCCAGGUUCAAUCCCUGGGUUGAGAA